UACGUAGGGUGCAAGCGUUGUCCGGAAUUAUUGGGCGUAAAGGGCGCGUAGGCGGCCUGCUAAGUCGAACGUGAAAUCCCCGGGCUCAACCCGGGAACUGCGUCCGAUACUGGCAGGCUUGAAUCCGGGAGAGGGAUGCGGAAUUCCAGGUGUAGCGGUGAAAUGCGUAGAUAUCUGGAGGAACACCGGUGGCGAAGGCGGCAUCCUGGACCGGCAUUGACGCUGAGACGCGAAAGCGCGGGGAGCGAACGGG
This 253-nucleotide ribosomal RNA is filed under the name uncultured bacterium. RNAcentral describes it as "partial 16S ribosomal RNA". It matches the Rfam family "Bacterial small subunit ribosomal RNA", at positions 524 to 776 of the family's 1533-position model. The record is from RNAcentral.